This 436-nucleotide ribosomal RNA is filed under the name uncultured microorganism. Its description in RNAcentral is "bacterial SSU rRNA". It matches the Rfam family "Bacterial small subunit ribosomal RNA", at positions 468 to 903 of the family's 1533-position model. The record is from RNAcentral.
AAUGACGGUACCUGACUAAGAAGCCCCGGCUAACUACGUGCCAGCAGCCGCGGUAAUACGUAGGGGGCAAGCGUUAUCCGGAUUUACUGGGUGUAAAGGGAGCGUAGACGGUAUAGCAAGUCUGGAGUGAAAGCCCGCGGCUCAACUGCGGGACUGCUUUGGAAACUGUUAAACUAGAGUGCUGGAGAGGUAAGUGGAAUUCCUAGUGUAGCGGUGAAAUGCGUAGAUAUUAGGAGGAACACCAGUGGCGAAGGCGGCUUACUGGACAGUAACUGACGUUGAGGCUCGAAAGCGUGGGGAGCAAACAGGAUUAGAUACCCUGGUAGUCCACGCUGUAAACGAUGAAUGCUAGGUGUUGGUGGGCAAAGCCCAUCGGUGCCGCCGCAAACGCAAUAAGCAUUCCACCUGGGGAGUACGUUCGCAAGAAUGAAACUCA